RNAcentral lists this long non-coding RNA (234 nucleotides) under Lathyrus oleraceus (garden pea). Its description in RNAcentral is "Pisum sativum (pea) long non-coding RNA (PSAT_LNC008393)". Lineage: Eukaryota; Viridiplantae; Streptophyta; Magnoliopsida; Fabales; Fabaceae. The record is from RNAcentral.
CCAGACAUAGAAGCAAUAAUUUGAGAACUAUCUGGUAAACUAACAUGGACUGGAAUUAUGUGUUUAUAUGAUUCAAAGGAAGCUAAGUCAUAGGCAAUAUGGUCUGUUGCACCAGUAUCAAAUAUCCAUAGAUUAUGGUUCUUACCAUGAUCAUUGUAAGCAUGAGAAUUUAGGCCAAAUGGGGAUGAGGAUAUGGAGUUGGCUUGAGGUGUGAGUUGGGACUGUUGGAUUAAG